ACUCAAAUGAAUUGACGGGGGCCCGCACAAGCAGUGGAGUAUGUGGUUUAAUUCGAAGCAACGCGAAGAACCUUACCAGGUCUUGACAUUGAGUGAAAGUCCAAGAGAUUGGAUCCUCUCCUUCGGGAGACACGAAAACAGGUGGUGCAUGGUUGUCGUCAGCUCGUGUCGUGAGAUGUUGGGUUAAGUCCCGCAACGAGCGCAACCCUUACUAUUAGUUACUACGGAUAGAAGAGGACUCUAAUAGGACUGCCGUUGACAAAACGGAGGAAGGUGGGGAUGAGGUCAAAUCAUCAUGCCCUUUAUGACCUGGGCUACACACGUACUACAAUGGCGCUAAACAAAGAGCAGCAAAACCGCGAGGUGGAGCCAAACUCAUAAAAGGCGUCUCAGUUCAGAUUGUAGGCUGAAAUUCGCCUACAUGAAGAUGGAAUUGCUAGUAAUCGCAGAUCAGCAUGCUGCGGUGAAUACGUUCUCGGGCCUUGUACACACCGCCCGU
RNAcentral lists this ribosomal RNA (499 nucleotides) under uncultured bacterium. Its description in RNAcentral is "bacterial SSU rRNA". It matches the Rfam family "Bacterial small subunit ribosomal RNA", at positions 899 to 1397 of the family's 1533-position model. The record is from RNAcentral.